CAGUUUCGGGACUUCCGCUGUUCUGGUGGCUGCGCAGAGCUGUAGACCCUCCGCGACGUCCGUGGGAGGGCUGGGGUCAGGACUCAGCCGGCGGGUCGUGCGCCUGUGCCUCACUCAGCCCUGACCCCCACCGGCGCGGGUCGUCGGAGAAAGUUGUCCGGAAGAGCUGUCCUGUCGUCUCCAAUUAUUUAUUCACCUAUUUAUUGAUAUCAAUAUGGACUCGUGGAAAAAUCUGUUAAAAUUCAGGAGCGCCUGAGUGGCUCAGUGGAUUAAGUAUUGGAUUUCGCCUUGCAUCAUGAUCUCAUGGUUCCUGGGUUCCAGCCCUGCCGCUGGCAGCGAGGAGCCUGCUUGGGAUUCUCUCUCUCUCUCCCUCUCUCCUCCUCCUUGACUCAUGCUUUCUCUCUCUCUCUCUCUCUAAAAAUAAAUAAAUAAACUUUAAAUAAAUAAAAAUAAAAUUCAGAUUAAGUACACUCAUUA
Neofelis nebulosa (Clouded leopard) is the source of this 477-nucleotide long non-coding RNA. RefSeq lists it as uncharacterized. The record is from RefSeq and is a predicted model, not a curated record. The transcript is spliced from 2 exons. NCBI's taxonomy places the organism in Eukaryota, Metazoa, Chordata, Mammalia, Carnivora, Felidae.